CGCUUUUCGAAUCUGUGCUAAUAUUUCUUCAGACACCAACCCAUUAGGGUUGAUCAGACUUCCAAGAUAAGUGAAGUU
Molecule: microRNA precursor, 78 nt
Filed under: Schistosoma margrebowiei
Lineage: Eukaryota; Metazoa; Platyhelminthes; Trematoda; Strigeidida; Schistosomatidae
Description: mir-3492 microRNA precursor family
Rfam family: mir-3492 microRNA precursor family
Source: Rfam by way of RNAcentral